RNAcentral lists this ribosomal RNA (1032 nucleotides) under uncultured bacterium. Its description in RNAcentral is "bacterial SSU rRNA". It matches the Rfam family "Bacterial small subunit ribosomal RNA", at positions 8 to 1017 of the family's 1533-position model. The record is from RNAcentral.
AGAGUUUGAUCCUGGCUCAGGACGAACGCUGGCGGCGUGCCUAAUACAUGCAAGUCGAACGAAACUUUCUUACACCGAAUGCUUGCAUUCACCGUAAGAAGUUGAGUGGCGGAAGGGUGAGUAACACGUGGGUAACCUGCCUAAAAGAAGGGGAUAACACUUGAAAACAGGUGCUAGUACCGUAUAUCUCUAAGGAUCGCAUGAUCUUUAUAUGAAAGAUGGUUCUGCUAUCGCUUUUACAUGGACCCGCGGCGUAUUAACUAGUUGGUGGGGUAACGGCCUACCAAGGUGAUGAUACGUAGCCGAACUGAGAGGUUGAUCGGCCACAUUGGGACUGACACACGGCCCAAACUCCUACGGGAGGCAGCAGUAGGGAAUCUUCCACAAUGGACGCAAGUCUGAUGGAGCAACGCCGCGUGAGUGAAUAAAGUCUUCGGAUCGUAAAACUCUGUUGUUAGAAAAGAACACGAUUGAGAGUAACUGUUCAUUCGAUGACGGUAUCUAACCACCAAGUCACGGCUAACUACGUGCCAGCAGCCGCGGUAAUACGUAGGUGGCAAGCGUUGUGCGGAUUUAUUGGGCGUAAAGGGAACGCAGGCGGUCUUUUAAGUCUGGUGUGAAAGCCUUCGGCUUAACCGGAGUAGUGCAUUGGAAACUGGAAGACGUGAAUGCACAAGAGGAGAGUGGAACUCCAUGUGUAGCGGUGAAAUGCGUAGAUAUAUGGAAGAACACCCUUGGCGAAAGCGGCUCUCUGGUCUGUAACUGACGCUGAGGUUCGAAAGCGUGCGUAGCAAACACGAUUAUAUACCCUGACAGUCCACGCCGUAAACUGAUGAAUGCUAUGUGUUGUAGGUUUCCGCCUUCAGUGUCGCAACUAACGCAUAAGCAUUCCGCCUGGGAGUACGACGCAAAGUUGAAACUCAAGGGAUUCGACUGCGGCCCAGCACAGCGGUGUAGCAUGUGCAUUAAUUCUAUGCACGGGAGAAGCAUACAGGUCUUGCAUCCUUUUGACACUAACAGAUUAGGAUGCCU